CCCUCUCCCACGGUAUAAAUACACCCAUCUAGGGUUCAUCUACGGUAGCACAAUCUAAACACUUUGAAUUCUCUUGCCCACUGCUUGAGUCUAAAAUCAUUCAUUAACUUAACUAACCUCCCCCCCCCACCCCCCCCAACCAAAGGUUUGCUUACGAUUGUUUCACUAUUUUGCAGGUUGUUCCAGACUACAUGAAUUCGUGCUCGACCGCCUCUUACGGCUCCAAACUAAUUAAUAAGUUUAAGGGGGAUAUGAUGAAGAAGUAUGAGAUGACUG
This 276-nucleotide long non-coding RNA is filed under the name Malus domestica (apple). Its description in RNAcentral is "long non-coding RNA (MDOM_LNC002126)". The record is from RNAcentral. Lineage: Eukaryota; Viridiplantae; Streptophyta; Magnoliopsida; Rosales; Rosaceae.